RNAcentral lists this long non-coding RNA (1139 nucleotides) under Homo sapiens (human). RNAcentral's name for it is "HSALNT0347320". The record is from RNAcentral. Lineage: Eukaryota; Metazoa; Chordata; Mammalia; Primates; Hominidae.
CUCUCUUGAAUGGCUGCGGUGUCAAUAUUCCCAGUCAGCUAUGUCUUCUGUGCUGUGCAUGUUUGAUUUAAAUUUUACUUAUAUUGUUAUCGCUUUUAGUUUCUUCAUUGCACUUUCAUCUUUGUUGGCCAAUUCUUUCUUUUGAGUAUCUAUUUUCAUGAAAUGUGACAUCGGUUUAUUUCCAGCCGACCAGGAGGCAACACAACUACACACUGUGUGAACUGAACCUCAGAUACCACUGGCCUGUCACCAACAGAUUUUGAAGCAAAUGAUGUGAUUGUUCACCGAUUAUCAGUGCAUCUGUUAUUUACAUAGUGAUUUGUGAACUGACAAGUUAGCAGCAGUUUCUGCUUUAUGCAAUUGUUCUGUUAAUAGACUGUGAUUGUGGAAGGAGUCUUUGGACUAGGCAGAAAGUGAUCAAUUUCCUCUCAUAUUACCCUCAACCUGCGGCCUAUUUGUACUCCUGAUUGGAUAAAAGGGUUAAGAAGAACAAAAUGGUUGGAGAGAUUUUUGAAUUUUUAUGAUAAUUAUUUGGUGUCCCAGGAUCUACUGAAUGUCUCAAGAGAGGAACUUUUUUCCACUUCACAAAUUCUAAUUUUUGACUUGAUAAAGAAUGAUGAAUAUUUGUCACACAGAUAUUUAAAUGGAAUCAGGGCUGUAUAUAACCAUGACAUAAUACUUUGUCAAAAAGUGAAAAGUUAAUCUGGUUGAAGGUAUUUUUACCUGGCAUAUGGAGAAGAUGAUGACAAUAAUGUGGAACUUGAUUAGACAUCAACAGAGACUCAAUGCCUCCUGGAAAACACCUGAGAAAUGAUUGAAGCUCGCUCUGGUCUUGCCUGGAAUCAUGCAUAACAUUUGUUGCUGCCUGCAUGUGGAUUCAUUUUAGCAGUUUAUCAAUUUGGACAGGGAAUUUUGAAUAAAAAAUUUUGGCAGUCAUUAUAGUGACUCUUCUGAGACUGAAAAUUCAGGUAACAAGGAAAAUCAGUGACUCUUUCUCUCUGCUUUCUUCAAAACACAAAUAAUCCAAUGAUGUAUAGGCUGCAUUGCCCUUUGAUUUGUUACCUUAGAGAUCAUUACAUGUUAGUACAUAAAGAAACUUCCCAAUCUUCUUUUAUAGCAUCCAGGUACUCCAAUGUGUA